AAUGUAAUGGAGCAAUUAGUUUAGUUUAGUUUAGUAUUAACCAGCCAAUAUGGAAAAACUUCAGUUAAGCAGACAAUGUCCUACUAUUCAUUCCUAGCAAUAGCAAUUGUGGGUUAAAUGAACAUUUAUAUAUAAAUCAUCACAAUAGAGCCAAAAUCUCAAGGUUGCUUGCAAAUUAACAGAGUUUUUUUGGGGGGAUUAAUAAAGAAAACAUUCAUAAUGUGAUGCCUAUAUAUCAAAAGAGCCACAUAUAAGUACUAAACACUGAGACAAACCAAAGAAAGAACAAAACAACAACUAAAUGGUGAAAGAGGGCCUGCUGGGUCGGUGUGUUCUAAAUCUUCCAGCAAUGCAACUUAGCCAUUGCAGCGCAGCGGCUACCUCAAGCAUACAAUAACUCUUGCUGCCCCCCCACCCCCCCACCCCUUUGUUGUCAUUUCUUUUGUCUUAUUGAAUAGCUAGUAUUAUUUGUGUUGAUUUAUGGAUUUCUUUUGGAUUGCUUUCUUUCAAAUCAUUAAUAUAUACAAAAUAAUAGAGGAAUAAUACAAUGAAAUCUCAUUAACAAUUAUUUGGUGUAAUACUUUGUAUCGAUGUUAGUUUGAGUAGGUUUGCAUUCAGGAUCCAGGACUGGAUUUUGUUUUGUUUUCAGGUUAUCCUCCAAUACCUUUUUCACAGCAUCAACCCAGGUGAAUUGUUGGUAAUCCCUGAUCAGCUAGAUGGUAUUAUAGUAUUAACAGUGACAAACAGGUUUGAGAGCCCAGUGGUAGAUUAUCAAGUCCUGCAGCUCUUCUCUGGGGUGAAAUAAUGGUGUUUGUGGAUUAAUGCAAUGUAUUACAAUCAGGUCUCGAGACAAUAUAAUCACAGUUCUUUAACGGAGAAACGAAAAUCCGAUAGCCUGGCCUAGUUUUUGGUAAAAAAAAAAAAAAUUGCUGGGGUGGGGAGGUGGGGGUGGCAGGGAUGGGGUUUUUUUGUAUUGUACACAUCAUUCUUGGGCUAAUUUCUUACCAUUCUUU
Long non-coding RNA from Ictalurus punctatus (channel catfish), 1013 nucleotides. The record is from Ensembl. NCBI's taxonomy places the organism in Eukaryota, Metazoa, Chordata, Actinopteri, Siluriformes, Ictaluridae.